Molecule: ribosomal RNA, 235 nt
Filed under: uncultured bacterium
Lineage: Bacteria
Description: partial 16S ribosomal RNA
Rfam family: Bacterial small subunit ribosomal RNA
Source: RNAcentral
CGGGACGGGUGAGUAAUGUCUGGGAAACGUGCCUGAUGGAGGGGGAUAACUACUGGAAACGGUAGCUAAUACCGCAUAACGUCGCAAGACCAAAGAGGGGGACCUUCGGGCCUCCUUGCCAUCGGAUGUGCCCAGAUGGGAUUAGCUAGUAGGUGGGGUAACGGCUCACCUAGGCGACGAUCCCUAGCUGGUCUGAGAGGAUGACCAGCCACACUGGAACUGAGACACGGUCCAG